RNAcentral lists this transfer RNA (74 nucleotides) under Candidatus Tayloriibacteriota bacterium. RNAcentral's name for it is "tRNA-Gly". It matches the Rfam family "tRNA". From Rfam's summary of the family: Transfer RNA (tRNA) molecules are approximately 80 nucleotides in length. Their secondary structure includes four short double-helical elements and three loops (D, anti-codon, and T loops). The record is from RNAcentral. Lineage: Bacteria; Candidatus Tayloriibacteriota.
GCGGGUAUGGUUUAGUGGUAGAACACGUCCUUGCCAAGGACGGGAUUCGGGUUCGAUUCCCGGUACCCGCACCA